This 1900-nucleotide long non-coding RNA is filed under the name Mus musculus (house mouse). RNAcentral describes it as "long non-coding RNA chr4:155715781-155717681". The record is from RNAcentral. Lineage: Eukaryota; Metazoa; Chordata; Mammalia; Rodentia; Muridae.
AGUCAGUUUUUCAGUUUCCUCCUUUUUUUUUCUUCCUUUUUCUUUUCUUUUCUUUCUUUCUUUUGUAAGUUUGAGAUAGAGCCUCACUAUGUGACCCUGGCUAGCCUGAGAUUCACUCUGUAGACCAGGCUGACCUUGAACUCACAGACCCUCAUGCCUCUGCCUCCUAUGUGCUGGGACUACAGACAUGGGACACUAGCCCAGUGGAGCAUUCAGUUUCUUUCCUCCUGCCCUGGAGAGGCUAGAGCAGUGCUUCUCAGCCUGUGGUUGGGACUCCUUUGGGGGUGUCAAACAGCCCUUUUACAGGGAUUGUCUAAAACCAUUGGAAAACACAGAUAUUUACAUUUUGACUCAUAACAAUAGCAAAAUUACAGUAAUAAAAUAGCAAGAAAAUAAUGUUUGGUCGGUAGUCACCAGAACAUAAGGAACCAUAUUAAAGGCAGCAUCAGGAAGGUUGCGGUUGAAGCGCUGCUCUAGAGGCAGCCACACACGUAAAGCCUGCUGGAUGUGAUAGUCAGAAGGCCCUGCUCUGUUGUUACACGGCAGUGCAUGGCUGAGUAAAUAGAAACUGCAUCACACGGUAGGCCGCCUAGCUGCUCCCUUUACAAAGGUGCGUGCACAUGGAACCAUUGGUAAGGCGGUUUGACAUUACUGCAGCUCCUGGAAAUAUAUUAGCUGGGUUAGUGGCUCAUGCCUAUAAUCUCAGCCUUUGGGUGGCUGAGGCAGGGAGAUUGCUGCAAGUUUGAUGCCAGCCUGGGCUGCAAGUUUGAGGCUAGCUUGGGCUAUAGACCAAGACCCUGUCACAAAACGUUGCUGUGUUUACCAAACAGAAGCAUGAAAAAACAGUAUUCUGAGAGAACUUCAAGAAGAAGUAAAACAGGCUGAAUUUUGUACUGGACACUUGUGGGGAAAGACAGGGGUAUUUUAACGUCAGUUCUCCAUACCACACAUCGUAUAAUGGUUAAGCUAAUCAGUGCUUCAGGUUUAAUGAGCAGGUCAUCUCACUUGAAAUUUCCCAUGUUCAUAAGCUUAGCCUGUGCAUAGAGGCCAAAUGUGUGCAUCAAACAACUUGGACUUUUAGAGAUCAGACCUCUGGGUUUUGUUUUGUUUUUUUGAGACAGGGUUUCUCUGUGUAGCCCCGGCUGUCCUGGAACUCACUCUGUAGACCAGGCUGGUGGCCUCGAACUCAGAAAUCUGCCUGCCUCUGGUUUUAUACAUCCUCUUUUUUUUGUUUGUUUGUUUUUGAUUUUUUUCGAGACAGGGUUUCUCUGUAUAGCCCUUGCUGUCCCGGAACUCACAGGCUAGCCUUGAGCCUGCCUCUGCCUCCCGAGUGCUGGGAUUAAAGGCGUGCACCACCACACCCGGCCAUUGAGUCAUUUCUUAUACAAACUUUCUGUUUUUAGAGACAUGUUCCCACUAUGUAUCCCUGGCUGGCUUGUAACAAUAUGUAUAGACAAAGCUAGCCUCCAUUUUAGAUCCACUUCUCUCUUCUGCUCCACCUCCUGGCUGCUGGGGUCACUUGUUAGCUUCACUUUUUAAGUUUUUAGGCAGCGGUUUCACUACAUUGCCCAAGCUGGCCUUGACAAAACUGUAGCACCGGUCAACCAUAAACAUGUUACCCUGGCACUGCUUCCCCAGAGUCUGAGGUUAUAGUCUUACUCCUUUUAAUAUAAACGACACUUUAAGCUAGUGUAGAGUCCUAGCUACUCUAGAAGCUGAAGCACUGGAUCCAGGAGCUCACGGCUAACCUGGGGAACUGGGAGGCUUGGCCUCGAGGAAAAGAGCAAGCUCUGCGUAUUACCGCACAGGUCGCACUCAGAACUCAGGAAGUUGAAGUGGGAUGAUCUUGAGACUUUCUCAAGAAAGAAGAAUAUAAUAAACCAAAAAUGUUUAUAUAAGU